This 253-nucleotide ribosomal RNA is filed under the name uncultured bacterium. RNAcentral's name for it is "partial 16S ribosomal RNA". It matches the Rfam family "Bacterial small subunit ribosomal RNA", at positions 524 to 776 of the family's 1533-position model. RNAcentral also lists the same sequence under 1 other name. The record is from RNAcentral.
UACGUAGGUGGCAAGCGUUGUCCGGAAUUAUUGGGCGUAAAGCGCGCGCAGGCGGUCCUUUAAGUCUGAUGUGAAAGCCCACGGCUCAACCGUGGAGGGUCAUUGGAAACUGGGGGACUUGAGUGCAGAAGAGGAGAGCGGAAUUCCACGUGUAGCGGUGAAAUGCGUAGAGAUGUGGAGGAACACCAGUGGCGAAGGCGGCUCUCUGGUCUGUAACUGACGCUGAGGCGCGAAAGCGUGGGGAGCAAACAGG